This 253-nucleotide ribosomal RNA is filed under the name uncultured bacterium. Its description in RNAcentral is "partial 16S ribosomal RNA". It matches the Rfam family "Bacterial small subunit ribosomal RNA", at positions 524 to 776 of the family's 1533-position model. The record is from RNAcentral.
UACGGAGGGUGCAAGCGUUGUCCGGAUUUAUUGGGUUUAAAGGGUGCGUAGGCGGCCCUGUAAGUCCGUGGUGAAAGCCAACAGCUCAACUGUUGAACUGCCAUGGAUACUGCAGGGCUUGAGUACAGACGAGGUAGGCGGAAUGGAUAGUGUAGCGGUGAAAUGCAUAGAUACUAUCCAGAACACCGAUUGCGUAGGCAGCUUACUAGGCUGUAACUGACGCUGAGGAGCGAAAGCAUGGGGAGCGAACAGG